RNA transcript from Nymphalis io (European peacock), 1319 nucleotides. RefSeq lists it as uncharacterized. The transcript is spliced from 5 exons. Lineage: Eukaryota; Metazoa; Arthropoda; Insecta; Lepidoptera; Nymphalidae. The record is from RefSeq and is a predicted model, not a curated record.
CUCGUUUAAUUUGAAAAACGCGAAGGGGGUGCGAGGUCAACUGAGUGGGCAACCUCCUCCCAUAAUACUCGUAGUUGCGAACGAUACAAUCUUGUAGGUGCGCAGUCGAGUUUAGUUCUUGUAGCCGAAUAGUCAAAGGCUUGUCAUUGUUGUAUUACAACAGGUCCCUAACAAACGCAUGGCUGACAUUUAGUAUAUAGACGUACAUCAUGGGCUGCACCAGCAGCGCUCCAAACAUGGCAGACAUACAUUCAAAUAGCGCAGAAAAUGUGAAAGAAGAAAAAACCUUAGAGACAUACCCUGAGACAAAAAGCGAUGAACUGGAACGUAACAUUGUUGAUAAUGAACAAAGUAAAAUUGUGCUUCCUUUGUGUGAUAAUUUAGAAGACAAUAUACAAUUAUCUAGAAAUAGUUCUUUCAUAAAAACAUCAGCCAUCCAUCAAGUGGAAAAUGGUGAACUGCACGUUAGGUCAGAAUCUACAUCUGUCGUGGAAUAAGAUGGCUAUCUGUUAUACAAUAACACAAGCAUACCUUUCGAACACUCGAUGUUGAUCAUGUUAAAAACAUCGUAGAACAGCAUGAAAACUCAGAACCUCAUGCAGACCUCUCAACCCAAAAUGAACUACCAGCAUUAAAAGAAGUAGUGAAUCAAGUUUUAUCAGAAAAUAUAUUUCAAAGUAUAGAAAAUAUAUCAACACUUCCCGACAAUGAGAGCGGUAGUGAUGAAAAUGUAUCGAUUCAUGAAAAAAGUAUCGAGCCGCACGAUACAUGUGAGAUCAACGAGGACUUAAAAGAAAAUGACGAACAAGAAAAAAUUUUGGAAGAAUCAAUAAGUCCUAGUCAAUCAGAAUGUAGUCGAGCAACAAGAUGGGAAGCGCUCGCCGACAUAGCUGCAGAACUGCCGCCAACUCUCGCAGUCGAUCCUUUAACUGGGCAAAUUUACUCGCUUGCUAAAUAAAUUAAAUAAGAGUUGAAAUAUUUAUCAAUCUCUAUAUUUUUUAACUUUUAUCAAUUUGAAACAGUCGCAUUUUUUAAUUGUCAACGUUAGACGUAAAAUUAUGAUUAAAACAAAAACCCUACCUGGGUAUACUAUACUAACUACGUAGGUUUUGUUCUUGAAAUCAAAAUAUUUUGCAAGAUAAGCUGCACCUGACCUUACUGUAUUUUGCAUGCAGGUAUGUGAAAUGCUUUUAAAUCUACAUAAUGUCAACAUAAUUUAUACGCGUUUAAAAUAAAAACGUGCUAUUUGCUUACUUUGCUGCUGCUCUAGCUGUUAUAAAGGUUAGUAAUUUACAUCAAAUGGAAUACGCAAUUGUAGC